AACGAACGCUGGCGGCAUGCCUAACACAUGCAAGUGGAACGAGACCUUCGGGUCUAGUGGCGCACGGGUGCGUAACGCGUGGGAACCUGCCCUUAGGUUCGGAAUAACUCCCCGAAAGGGGUGCUAAUACCGGAUAAUGUCUUCGGACCAAAGAUUUAUCGCCUUUGGAUGGGCCCGCGUUGGAUUAGCUAGUUGGUAGGGUAAAAGCCUACCAAGGCGACGAUCCAUAGCUGGUCUGAGAGGAUGAUCAGCCACACUGGGACUGAGACACGGCCCAGACUCCUACGGGAGGCAGAAGUGGGGAAUAUUGGAAAAGGGGCGAAAGCCGGAUCAAGCAAUGCGGCGUGAGUGAGGAAGGCCUUAGGGUUGUAAAGCUCUUUUACCAGGGAUGAUAAUGACAGUACCGGGAGAAUAAGCGCCGGCUAACUCCGUG
RNAcentral lists this ribosomal RNA (433 nucleotides) under uncultured bacterium. Its description in RNAcentral is "partial 16S ribosomal RNA". It matches the Rfam family "Bacterial small subunit ribosomal RNA", at positions 29 to 507 of the family's 1533-position model. The record is from RNAcentral.